CUCUUAUCAAGAGUGGUGGAGGGACUGGCCCGAUGAAGCCCGGCAACCGGCACAUAGGUGCGACUGGUGCCAAUUCCUGCAAAACGAAGAGUUUUGAGAGAUGAGAG
This 107-nucleotide non-coding RNA is filed under the name Caldanaerobius fijiensis. RNAcentral's name for it is "SAM-I sequence". It matches the Rfam family "SAM riboswitch aptamer (S box leader)". From Rfam's summary of the family: The SAM riboswitch is found upstream of a number of genes which code for proteins involved in methionine or cysteine biosynthesis in Gram-positive bacteria. RNAcentral also lists the same sequence under 1 other name. The record is from RNAcentral. Lineage: Bacteria; Bacillati; Bacillota; Clostridia; Thermoanaerobacterales; Thermoanaerobacteraceae.